CCUACGGGAGGCUGCAGUGAGGAAUAUUGGUCCAUUGGCGUAAGCCUGAACCAGCCAAGUCGCGUGAGGGAUGAAGGUUCUAUGGAUCGUAAACCUCUUUUAUAAGGGAAUAAAGUGUGGGACGUGUCCUGUUUUGUAUGUACCUUAUGAAUAAGGAUCGGCUAACUCCGUGCCAGCAGCCGCGGUAAUACGGAGGAUCCGAGCGUUAUCCGGAUUUAUUGGUUUUAAAGGGUGCGUAGGCGGCCUUUUAAGUCAGCGGUGAAAGUCUGUGGCUCAACCAUAGAAUUUCCGUUGAUACUGGGAGGCUUGAGGAUGUUUGAGGCAGGCGGAAUGCGUGGUGUAGCGGUGAAAUGCUUAGAUAUCACGCAGAACCCCGAUUGCGAAGGCAGCCUGCCAAGCCAUGACUGACGCUGAUGCACGAAAGCGUGGGGAUCAAACAGGAUUAGAUACCCCGGUAGUC
This 460-nucleotide ribosomal RNA is filed under the name uncultured bacterium. RNAcentral describes it as "partial 16S ribosomal RNA". It matches the Rfam family "Bacterial small subunit ribosomal RNA", at positions 338 to 795 of the family's 1533-position model. The record is from RNAcentral.